GAGGUUAUGGAAGCUUUAGUGGU
RNAcentral lists this non-coding RNA (23 nucleotides) under Arabidopsis thaliana (thale cress). The record is from RNAcentral. Lineage: Eukaryota; Viridiplantae; Streptophyta; Magnoliopsida; Brassicales; Brassicaceae.